This 520-nucleotide long non-coding RNA is filed under the name Homo sapiens (human). RNAcentral's name for it is "HSALNT0389681". The record is from RNAcentral. Lineage: Eukaryota; Metazoa; Chordata; Mammalia; Primates; Hominidae.
AGACGCCUCAAGGCUGCGCGCGAAGACACGGCGCAGGCAGACUCACAGACGGGGCUCCCCCACCCUGGACACGGCGGCAGCGAGUUGGGAAGCCCAGGAAACCCCGGGUUCCCGUCGGAAGCCUCCCGACCUCGGGAAGGGCGAGUCUUAAAGGAGCCACUCCUAGUUGAAGACUGGACCGUGGGAAUCCGGGAGAAUCCCUCCCUCAGACCCAGAACCGAAGAUUCAGAGCAAGAACGGGGUGAGGUUCUGCGGAAAGAAUGAAAAUAGCGCUCGGUGGAGAAGACCGCAGCGUGUGGUAUCCUACACUCCUUUCCCCCCAACCACACACACACCCACACCUAAAUCUGAGAAGUGAGGCGGCGGCGUAAUAUGGAAGUGAGUGCGGUGACUCCUGCCCUAGCUGUCAAGCCCCUGAAUCCUAUAAUUAUAAUCCUCUUCUAGGGACCAGCUGGAACUGAGAGCUGUGUGACCUUGACCAAGUCACUUCCCUUCCCUGGAUCUUAAUUAUCUCAGCUGC